Gopherus flavomarginatus (Mexican gopher tortoise) is the source of this 2840-nucleotide long non-coding RNA. RefSeq lists it as uncharacterized. The transcript has 4 exons. The record is from RefSeq and is a predicted model, not a curated record. Lineage: Eukaryota; Metazoa; Chordata; Testudines; Testudinidae.
AGGGGAGGCUGGGCAGCGUGCUGCCCACUGCAGGAAGGGGGAGCACCCCCACUGAUUGGGCUUUGUCUCUGGGGUACGAUGCCCUCCAGGGUAGGGUGCAGGGGGCCUGAGCACAGGCAAGGCUUUAUUUUAGGAACAGGUUGCCUGCUGAGGUGCGGGGAGGCAGGGAUGCUGAGCACAGAUAAGAAUGUGCUUCAGGAACCUGUUCCACCUCUAAAGGGUAGGAAGGAGGCUACAGUCUCAAGCACAAGACUGUCUCAGUAACAUGAGGUUGCUGCCUGUCUCUGAUGGGUAAAGAGACACAGCACUGAGAACAAACAUUUAUCUCAUGGCAAAGGCUGAUCAUCACUAUUUCUUCAUAUGUUGUUUCUUAUUUUGGGUGAUCUCUACAAGUCUGAAAAUAGCUUAUUAGAGGAGAAACUGUACAUCUUGUCAAGUAUCAGAGGGGUAGCCAUGUUAGUCUGGAUCUGUAAAAAGCGACAGAGUGUCCUGUGGCACCUUGUAGACUAACAGAUGUAUUGGAGCAUAAGCUUUCGUGGGUGAAUACCCACUUUGUCAGAUGCAAGUACGUCUUGAAUUUUUUGAUCCCAUCUUCUACCUUUCAAAAAUUAGAGGUUGGAGAAAAAGGGCCUGGCAUAGGCACAUAGUGUAUAUUUAACCAUAUAGGGUUGGGUCACUGCUCCAGCAAGUCUGAUUAUUAUUAAUUUGUAUUGUCAUAGCUUCUGGGAGCUGGUAAUCAGCACUUGUUACUUCAGAGGAAUGUAAAAAUAUACCAUCCCAAAAUUUACAUAGCUAAUAGCAUAGUAAAAUGUACAUUGGUAAAUAAAAUUAUCUUGAGCCCUACAGUGCACAGUUUAUACCUUGAAGCUUGAGGUUACACUCACCCUGUUUUAAUAUAUAUAAUGCCAUAUAUUUAUCAUAAUAACAUAGACAAAUAGUGGGAUAAUUUCCCCCCAAACACAUUCUCUGCAAUACAGAUAUGGACACAUAAACAUGUGUAUCAUGUUCUGUUCAAUCUUUUCAGAAGUUAUUACUAAGAAAAAAUAAAAGUGCAAACCCUGACUCUGAAGAUGUGUUAGCUGCAUCUGAUAGACACUUCCCUGUGCUCCCUCAUUUGGGAUGUUAUAAGUUAUCAGUGCCCACUUAGGUCUUUUUUUUUAUUUCUCAGUAGGGAAGUUUGAGAGUACUGUUUCAGGUUUUCCAGCUGUCACUGGCCUCGGGUUCUCCCCGUCUUUCUCUUCCAUAGUGUGCCCUGAAAUGCAACUGUCCCUGACAGUUCUGUGGAUUCUCUUCUCUCCUCUCCUCUCUCUUUUUUUUUUUUUUUUUUUUUUUUUUUUUUUUUAACUCACUUCCAUAAAAUCAUUUGGGUAUAAGAAAUCUCUAUGCCAACUAAUCAAGCCUUGCAAAACUUUUCUUCUCAAGUGUGAGUAAUGCAUUUUCAGUAUAGAUUUAAAAAAUAACUGUUUUUUAUCAUUAGUAUUAUGGUUUGAGUAAGUAGAUGUCCUGGGCUGGUAAGCUUUUAUGGUAAUUUUGCAAGACUUAUUCCUUUGACUUUUCUUCCCUCUUCCACCUAAUCAGGAAGGACUUAAUUAUUUCUCAAGCAUCUCUGAUAUUUUCAAGACUACAGAAGAUAUUAACAUCUUUAGUGAUGGCCAUUCUUUAACUCCUUGACAAUUUAUAACCUUGCAUGUCUACUUACAUAUAAAUAUUUUCCUAAAUUAACACACUUUGUUGUCUCUAGUUUUACUUCUGUUCUCGUUGAUUAAAGAGGAUGAUUGAGAUGAGAAUUAACUGUUCUCUUAAUAGCAUACCUGUACAUAUAUUGAUAUGAGUCUAGAACAAGACUAAGAUGAGACAUUAACAAUCCUCAUUCUUGCAUUCUUUCCUCAGAGCUUUGAUUUUGCUAAACUCCAUUGUUGCUCUCAGGUGAUAUGAACUCUGUCAAUCCAGUUUCUAACUUGUCUCCAUUUUUUUUCAAUCCUUCUUUGAGGAUGAAACAUUCACUAUAAAAGAUGUGAGGUAUGCUUGCCCACCUCAUCCCCAGAACAAACAUGUCAUCUCAAGAUUUCUUACUAGUUCAGUGAGUAUAACUGGAAAUCACUUCUGCCUUCUGUAUUGUAAGGCCACAUAAUGAGUUUAUUAAUGGGUUUCAAAGCUGUGCAUUCUGGAAAUUGUGGGUUUUAGCCUCGUUGAAAAUCUUGGUGCAUUUCAGAUCUGGGUUCUCAUUUUAAAGUGUCUUCACAAGAGCAGUCCCUACAGUCCAGCCUGAGUGAGCUUGAUCCAGAGGAAGGAACCUCUGCUGGAAAUGUGGCCUCGAGAUCUUUCCAUCCACACUAGUGGAGUGGCUCAGCCAGAUGAGAUGGAGAAGGAAGAGGAAGAAGGAUGACACGUUCCAAAAGAUCCUGCAAGCCUGUGGUGCUUCGGAUACCGAGCACAAGGCUUGGAGAAUCCCCUAGCAGAAUGAAUGGACAGGGAUAGUAUGAAGAAUAGAAAAGAACAGGAAAAGGAGAGACACAUCCAGCAGGAGAUGCUAGCACUUUUCAAGUAGCAGACAAACAUGCUGGAGGCUCUUGUUGACCUUCAGGUUCAACAGACCCGUGCUCUCCUCCCUCUGCAACCCAUAAAGAACUGCAUUCUGGGACCUACCUAUGCACCCCCACAUUGUGUCUGGGGCUGCUUCGGCUAUCCUUACCGCUCCACUCUGGGGGAGAGUACAGGCAAUCACAGCCGCCCGUACACUGACCUGUGAGAGAGACUGUCGAUGUAUGUGUUGUGAAUUGACUAUUCUUUCCCUAUAUUUAUAAAGUUUCAUUCAGUUAUAAAUAUGUCUGUUUACAUGA